RNAcentral lists this ribosomal RNA (371 nucleotides) under uncultured bacterium. RNAcentral describes it as "bacterial SSU rRNA". It matches the Rfam family "Bacterial small subunit ribosomal RNA", at positions 527 to 896 of the family's 1533-position model. The record is from RNAcentral.
GUAGGGUCCGAGCGUUGUCCGGAAUUAUUGGGCGUAAAGGGCUCGUAGGCGGUUUGUCGCGUCGGGAGUGAAAACUCAGGGCUCAACCCUGAGCGUGCUUUCGAUACGGGCAGACUAGAGGUAUGCAGGGGAGAACGGAAUUCCUGGUGUAGCGGUGGAAUGCGCAGAUAUCAGGAGGAACACCGGUGGCGAAGGCGGUUCUCUGGGCAUGACCUGACGCUGAGGAGCGAAAGCAUGGGGAGCGAACAGGAUUAGAUACCCUGGUAGUCCAUGCCGUAAACGUUGGGCGCUAGGUGUGGGGACCUUCCAAGGUCUCCGUGCCGCAGCUAACGCAUUAAGCGCCCCGCCUGGGGAGUACGGCCGCAAGGCUA